UCAGCCCCCGAUAGGUGAUGGGAUGAACCACAGCCAGGUAGCGCUCCACACAGGUCAAGACGUGAAAGUAUAACUCUCCAAACAGAGUGCUGGAACAAGUAAACACCCCUACAGUCAUCACUACUAACUGGUUAGUGUACAGGCCACCAUAGAAGAAGAAACUCCCCAAGAUCCAGAGCAGCUCCAUGGCAGCCACAUGGUAGGUGAAGAUGUCAGAGUGAGUCGCUGCUUUAGAGGAACGAUGCUGCUGCCUCCAUCUUUGGUGACCCAGGUAGAGGAUGAAGGUGGAGAGAGGGAGGAGGAGGAUUGUUCUCAAUG
Amphiprion ocellaris (clown anemonefish) is the source of this 318-nucleotide long non-coding RNA. The record is from Ensembl. Lineage: Eukaryota; Metazoa; Chordata; Actinopteri; Pomacentridae.